UACGAAGGGGGGCUAGCGUUGUUCGGAUUUACUGGGCGUAAAGCGCACGUAGGCGGAUUGUUAAGUCAGGGGUGAAAUCCUGGAGCUCAACUCCAGAACUGCCUUUGAUACUGGCAAUCUUGAGUCCGGAAGAGGUGAGUGGAACUCCUAGUGUAGAGGUGGAAUUCGUAGAUAUUAGGAAGAACACCAGUGGCGAAGGCGGCUCACUGGUCCGGUACUGACGCUGAGGUGCGAAAGCGUGGGGAGCAAACAGG
RNAcentral lists this ribosomal RNA (254 nucleotides) under uncultured bacterium. RNAcentral's name for it is "partial 16S ribosomal RNA". It matches the Rfam family "Bacterial small subunit ribosomal RNA", at positions 524 to 776 of the family's 1533-position model. The record is from RNAcentral.